CAGGAUUGUUGUUUUUGGUAAUGGCUUGCAUCAGGUACCAUUAGGUACAUAUUUAUGUCUUGAGCCAUACCAAAAACAUGUUGAAUUGUGAGGUCAAGACAUAGGCUGACACAGCUCACUAAAACAAAAGAAAACAGUCUUGCAACAGUAGCACAUAUAAUAAAACCCCUAUUAUCUGACAACCCAUCAGGGACAUGCACUCAAUACAAGUUAAC
Molecule: non-coding RNA, 215 nt
Organism: Pelobates cultripes (western spadefoot toad)
Lineage: Eukaryota; Metazoa; Chordata; Amphibia; Anura; Pelobatidae
Source: the annotation of a GenBank genome assembly